ACUGUUUUGGCAGAUGAUAUGCGUUGGAUUUAGGAUCCUAUAAAAUAGAUUUAUUCUAUAAAUAGUU
Molecule: transfer RNA, 67 nt
Filed under: Tubuca rosea
Lineage: Eukaryota; Metazoa; Arthropoda; Malacostraca; Decapoda; Ocypodidae
Description: tRNA-Leu
Source: RNAcentral